Long non-coding RNA from Rhagoletis zephyria (snowberry fruit fly), 1389 nucleotides. RefSeq lists it as uncharacterized. The record is from RefSeq and is a predicted model, not a curated record. Lineage: Eukaryota; Metazoa; Arthropoda; Insecta; Diptera; Tephritidae.
CUAAUUUCCAUUUAAUAGGCAUUUUAUGUGCUCACAAUUUAAUCGUUUUUAACACAACACAAAAUAAGUAUUCAGAGACACGCCGAGUAAAUAUUUGGUUAGGCUCGCCGACCCUACUGAUAACACUUUUGGCAAACUUGCUCGCUCUUGAACACAAAAAAACUCAAAAACUGCAAAUACACUUGUGCCUUAGGAACGCAAUUUGCAUUUGAAAGCAGCGUUUAACACCAUUUUUAUGAAUUUUACUAAUUUACUUAAUUAGUUGCACCAAUUUUCCGUGAAAAUGUUCUCGCACUCGUUCUAAUGGCUUGGGCUUUGCAAAAACAAUAACAAUAACUAAUGGAGCUGCGGAAGCCGGUAAACGGUAUAGCCCAGGCAUAUUCGUCAUUCGCCGGUUAUGUAGUACACACGAACGAGUGAACUUCCUCUGCUAUCAGAAGCAGUCAGAAGUGUGCGUCAGCCAUAUUGCUCUUCUAACAGCAUCAAACUUCCUAUCUUUGCGUGUAUGGCAUAUCAAAACAAAAAUCUAGCAGCAACAACAACAACCAUUUGGAGAUGGCUGCGAAUUUGACGGUCAACAUGUGCGGUCAGACGAAACUGCAUGUUAACUGAUGCUAAGGAUGAUUAAAUAACCGCUGCAACCAAAACUACAACGCUGAGCACUAGCAACUGACACUGGCAAAGUGCACAAUUGUUUCCAAAUUUCUUGAAGUUAUGGCAUUCAACUGAUCAAAUGUAAGUAUCGGCAGCCAAACUCGUUCGCUACACGAGAAUGAUUUUCACUGAUAAAUCCUGAGGCACAUCUAUGUCCUCUACUGGCAUACACACAUAAUUAUUGAAGAGGUAGCACAAGAACGAACACAAACGUGGCAGAAGGAGUGCUUUUUUAAUUCAACUUCUUCGCAGAUGCAAUUUGCAUUUAUGUACUUUUAUUGGCAACACAUUUUUUUGGCUUUCACGGCCAACUGACUAGAGAAAGCCGACGAGGUAUCUUCCAAACCGUCGGCAACUAUUUUGCAAUUAUUACGUAUUCAAUUAUUACUAUAAGAAUGCCAUCGAUCCAUGAAAUACGUCAGGCAUGCAUGCAUAAAUACAUACGAGUAUAGUUGAAAAAUAUAAGUGCUUAGAUAUAUACUUAAAUGUGUGGUCCUUAUUAAUAUUCAUAACAUGAGUUCGAUCUAGAAAAUAAAUUCUGCUUUAUUUUUCUACUUGUAUAAGAUACUUAGUAGGUAGACAGUCACAUUAUUUACAAUGAAAAUAUUGUAAGUUAAAGGCUUGGAAUUAAAAGAAAUAUGUAUAUUAGCACUACAUAUAAUUAUGCUCUAAUAAAAAUUGCAUAUCAUUUAUAAAUAUAUGCUGUAAAACAUAAAUUGAUAUAGAAAUCACUGA